CGGCCAGAGCCACAGCCACAGCCGCGGCCACAACCGCAGCCGCAGCCGCGGCCACAACAUAAUAAUAAUAAUAACACAUUUAAGCAAGACGGAGGACACAGAGGAGACUGACACCCCAGAUGAUUCGGACGACAGCACGUGGUCACCUGACGAGUCAGAAGAAGGGUUGACAGCUGAUGAUGCACAAGAAGUGCUGCAGAGUCCUCUCAAAAAGUCACGCCGGAAGAGUGGUUAUUGCCUGCCCAAAGUGAGGAGUCCCGGUUCAU
This is a long non-coding RNA of Micropterus salmoides (largemouth bass), 266 nucleotides long. RefSeq lists it as uncharacterized. The record is from RefSeq and is a predicted model, not a curated record. The transcript has 3 exons. NCBI's taxonomy places the organism in Eukaryota, Metazoa, Chordata, Actinopteri, Centrarchiformes, Centrarchidae.